This 219-nucleotide ribosomal RNA is filed under the name uncultured eukaryote. RNAcentral describes it as "partial 18S ribosomal RNA". It matches the Rfam family "Eukaryotic small subunit ribosomal RNA", at positions 1299 to 1458 of the family's 1831-position model. The record is from RNAcentral.
UGGUGGAGUGAUUUGUCUGGUUAAUUCCGUUAACGAACGAGACCUCAGCCUGCUAAAUAGUCAUGCGAAUCGUCUGACAGGUGAAGCGUGAGGUGUCCCGUUGGGGGCCCUGCCCCCGCGGGUGCCGCGCGUGGAUCUAUGACUGAUUCGUAGCAAAAUUUUUUGACUUCUUAGAGGGACUAUUCUGUGUUUAACGAUUGGAAGUUUGAGGCAAUAACA